ACUCCCCCACUCUUCCACUUCUCUCUCAACUCCCCAAACCCUAAAGCCCCCAUCUCUCUCCCUUCUCUCUUCCCCAUUUCCGCCGCCACCCUUCCCCAUCGCGGCGCCGCCCGCCGGAAAUCUCUACCGGCGGCGGCCAACCUCCAAAAGAAAUCCAAAAUAACUUCAUUCUUCUCCUCUUCUCCUCCUCUACCUCACCCCACCAACUAAACCCAUAAAAAACCAACCCCCCGAAAAUCGAAAAGUGACCGAAACUCCACCACCACCACUACUCCGCCGCCGGAAAUCGCCCAAGGCGGCGGUGAAACUCCAAAACAAAUCAAACUCACAACAUACACUCCUCUCAUCCUCCUAAACCUCAUACUACCAACCAAAUCUACAAAAACCUAAUCAAAAUCUGUAGAUCUUAGAUCUAUAAAGGCCAAAACUCUAGAUCUAACCCCUUACCAUUUNNNNNNNNNNNNNNNNNNNNNNNNNNNNNNNNNNNNNNNNNNNNNNNNNNNNNNNNNNNNNNNNNNNNNNNNNNNNNNNNNNNNNNNNNNNNNNNNNNNNNNNNNNNNNNNNNNNNNNNNNNNNNNNNNNNNNNNNNNNNNNNNNNNNNNNNNNNNNNNNNNNNNNNNNNNNNNNNNNNNNNNNNNNNNNNNNNNNAGUAUCUUAGAUCCAAGAUGGGAGUCUUGGCUUGAGGGGUUUUUCACGUUUAGACCCAUUUAAUUUUGUUAUUUUUAUUUUUAUUUACUCAUUUUUAUUUAUUUAUGAUAUUUUCGUAUUUAUUUUUAUUCCCGCAUUUUUAUUCUAUUUUUUUUAUUAUUUACGCGUUCUGUUUUUUUAUUUCUGUUAUUUAUUUUUAACGCAUUUCUGUAUUUAUUUUGUUAAUUAUCAUGUUUAGUUAUUUCUGUUAUAAUUAAUUGAUUAAAACUAGAUUUAAUUGAAAAUAUAUAUAAAGUUAGUAUAAUAUAUUAUGUUAGUUAUAGAUUAUUAUGUAGUUGUCACUUUGAUUGUUAGUUAAUUAAACAGAUUAAUCAAAAAAAAUUUAAAAAAAGAGUAAAAUAUAAAAUAAAAAAGUGCUUCAUUUCUUCCUUAGUGUUUCAUUUUUGUUAUUGUUGUUAAUUUUUUGGGCCUAGCUAAAUUGACAGGCACAUAGCUUUGUUAUUAUUUAUUUAUUUAUUUUCGUGUUAAAAUUGGGUCUGGCUAAACGGACAAGCCCAUAGCUUUGUUAAAGUUUAAGAGCCCAUGCUCUUUAGGCCAAGAGUCAUCUGACUCAGGCCCUAAACCAAUCCGGUUUUGAUGUAAUUCCAAGACCCUUAAGGGUCAAUUUUGGAAACCUAAAUUCUAAAAAUCAUUUAGAAAGUGCUAGACUAUCUAGAAUAGGGACAACUGUCCUAAUGCUGACUAGGAAAAAGGAUAAGAUCUAAAAAAUAUCCGGAAAUAGGACACUUGUCCAUUUUCUGAGAUAAGAAAGGUACUAAAAAUUGGACAGCUGUCCAUUUCUGUAAAGAGGAUGCCAUUUUCUCUAAUUUAUAGGGAAUUCUGACAGAUUUUUUGGACCUGAAUUCUGAUCCCAUUCUAUAAAUACACUCCUUCUUUUCAUUAUACACAGGGCUGGAUAUACAAUUUGGACCUAAAAAUAUACUGAUUCUGCACUACUUUGGAGUUUCUUUCUUUCACUAUUAGCAAAGAACUCCUACUGGUUUUUCACUCUCUCUUCUGGAUUUCUAGAUUUUUGGAAGCUGGUUUUGGUUUUCUAUUUGGGUUUGCUACUGUUUCUCACUCAACUUUUUAGAGACCUAUUUUCUUUCUAUUUGUUUUCUUGCUGCUGUCAAGGUACUUUUCUUAUCAAAAAGUGUAAAGUUUCAUUCUUUUGCUAAAUCAUGAUAGGAAUUUGUGUAUAAAUCUGCAAUUAUUUUGAAUAUUGCAUGAACCAUGUUAGUUUGAAGCUUGUUUGUUUGUUAUGUUGUAAAUUUGUUUACAAUGUUUUAGGCAAAUGUAUUAGUUUAAAAGUAUUCUGAAAAUUACAGAAUCUGCUUAAAGAUUCAUACAUUUAUAAAGUUUGUAUGUUCAUAUGUAGUAGUAUCACAUAAAUCAUUUUCCAAAAAUUCAGUUAGAAUAGCAAUAGGCAGUAUUAUUCAGUUAGCAAAAAAUGUAAUAAUUUUACUGCAUUUUCUUGUGUGUUAAACCAGCUUAAUAGAUUAGUAAUUUACCACACUAUUUUUAAUAGUUGAAUAAUGCUGAAUUAUUAUUAGCUUAAAGUUAUAAAAAUUAGAUUUUUAGAAAGUAACUAAGUGAUAACCAUAAUACAUUUUCAGGCCCAAAGCCAAUUUGGUUUAUGAAUUUGUGUUCUGAUUUUUACAAAAACAAAAUGAGUUGAUCAAUAGAAUUUGCACUUAAAGAUUUUUGAAAUACAAAUAAGCUUCAAAAUCAGCAUUUCGAAAAAUAUAGACUUAGGCAAAUUAGUAGGAAGAUUGUCUAAAAUUUAACAGAUUUUGAUUUAUUCAAAACCCUUUUACUUUUCUGUUUCAAAAGAUAAACAAAAGUAUAGUUAAAAUCCUGCAUUUUGUCAUUAGGAAUAUUAAUUUCAAAUUUUCUUCAAAUAUGUGUUGGACUAGAGUUCACUUAGACUCAUUAUUAAGUUUAUUUAUUUGUCCACAAAUAGAUUUUGGGCCAGAGUUACUUGUACUCAUUAGUAGGCCCAAAUCUUCUUGAAUGCAUUACAUUUAAAUUGAUUAAUUGCUUAAUAAUUUAUUUGGGCUAGAUCCAUCUGAAUAAGUCAGGCCCAGGUUCUUUUAGAAUUAAUUUAGUUGUUUAAUGAUAGACAAUACAUUUCUUGGGUUAGAGUUCAUUUGGACUCAACCAUUGUCAGGCCCAAACUUCAAAAUCUGGGCUUAUUUGGCAUUUAAUAAAUAAAGUUUUCACUUUUAAUUAAAAUAGGUAUCUCAUGUAUUAUUGUGUACCUUUACACCUAGCUACAUGAUGUAGAAUAGUUUAGAGAUAUAAUCACAUUUUUAGGUACACUUCAAAAUUACGCCUUAAUCAAAUACUCGUAGAAAUGCUUUAGGCGAGAUUAAUUAACUAUCUUGGCUAUGAGUACGGUUCUCGUGGCAUAGUCAUGGUACAUAAUCCUCAAUUCGGGUGUGCAUUUCAUGUAACCCGAUUAUAACAACUUCGAAUAUUAAUAAAAUACACAUGUCGUGAAUCGCGGGUACAUUUCAUGUAGCGUGGUUUGCGGCGUGUUCCAAAACAAACAAGUGUACGACAAUCGUAACUUGUUCAAGAAAUAAUUCCAUAAAUCCUAAAAGCGGUUAAAAUAAUUAAAAGGCGAUUAUAAAGCUAAAAAUGCACAAUAGGUUUAAAACAUGUAGUAAAUCAGAUAAUAGGCUAAUAUUAAUAGUUUAAGCGACCGUGCUAGAACCACAAAACCUGGGAAUCCCUAAAACCUUCUUCUGAAUUAACAAAAUUCCUUACUUUUUUUUUGAUCCGCUAGGCAAUCGCCUAGGGCUAAUUUUUAUAACCAAUAAAAUCAUAAAUAAAAUACAUUGUCCGGGGGUCUAACAUAAUGAAAUAGAUAAACUUUGACGGUUACAUGAAACCUAUUAUCAAUAUUGAGUUUGAAAGUCAACAUUGAUAUUACAUUAGGUCUAGCAAUAGCCAAGUGUUUAAAAUGUAGUUGUACACAGUGAGCGUCCCAUGAUAGAGUGUAUUUCGAUUUUGUUAAAUAUAUGGAAAAUAUAUCCAAAGUCCAAUAUUCAGUCCAGAUUGUCUUUAACUGCAUCUUGUACCUGUCGCUGCACUUGCAAUAAUAGCGUAACUCAUUGUGUAUUUGUGUGAACCAUUGAUUGCCAUAAAAGUGUAUGUCUUGUUCCAUUAUUGACUGCAUAUUACCCCAUUGUGUCUCAAAUUCUUCCUGCAUCGAAGGUUGCCAUGUUGAUUCCUUCUUGAAGAACUGUUGAGCUGUUUGAACAGCAUUGUUGCUCCAUCCAAGCCUUUUUUUUAUUAAAGAAAGCCUAUUACAGAUGAUUUCUGCGUAGGCAUGCAUUAGCUUGAGGUGCUCAUAAUGAUUCCUUGUUGUGCAAAAUUUCCAGCACCUCGAAAAUACAAGAAGUUUUCCUUUUUUUAGUUUUCCAUGGGUAAUUGUAAUGGCCCAUGCUUUGUCCCAAACUUUAGGUGUGCACAAAACACUACCCAAUGUUCCUUUAUUUAAAGUCCCAAGUCUCAUGAAUCCUUUGUGGCCCCAUGCUCUUGGCAUGUGCAACCAUGCUUCUAAGCUUUUUACUCAUAUCGAGUACUUAUCCUCGAUCCCCUCCCUUUGUUUAACACACUUCCAGUCAAGAGAGUGCAUUGGAUUUGUGUAGGUUGUUGCGUUUGAAAAGUUCUUUAUGAUGAACUUUAAUAAAGCUUCAUUAUUUCCAGACACAACCUGCUGCCAGAACCAUGUGAUGCACUUUGUAUCCUUCUGUUGUAUUCCUAAAGACUGGUUCCCUGUAUAUGCAUUUUGUUUCAUGUUGUAUAUUGAAGAUAUCCACCUACAGGUCACUUCUGCAGCAUUAUGGAUGUUGGGUUCAUCAGUGAUUCUACUACAUUUGACCUCGAUGUCAUGUGUCCAUCCUUUGUGUGUUGUUGAGUUCCCUACACUAUUGGAUACUUCAUGUGCUCGACUAUGAUGCUGCAUUGAUGAAUUAUUCCUCUUAGCCUUCUGUUUUUCUUUAAUGGAUUGCCAUUUCAAAUAAUUGAUUUUCCUCAAGCUUAUGCAUAUCACCUUUCCUCCUUCAAGGGAUUGAGCACAAAGUACUAAUACCACCCAUAGAAGUUGUAUUAAGUGACAUGGCUUGAGCACAGUAUCGAUUCCUACAAAAAAGAACCCAAGGUUAGUAAAAUAACAUUUUUCGACUUCCUUUCCUCCCCUAGGAUUUGAAAUCAUCCCCUUUGCUCUUGUGUUGACCUCUCCUUCUACUGCCUCGAAGCCUUUACUCUGAGAAAUGGACAUUGCAUUUUGUCUACAUUAACAAGUCUUCUGCCUUGUGUAUCCAGAUGAUUAAAAGAGUGACAUUCUAUGACUCCUUGAACAAGAGCAUAGUUUGCCAAAUGAUCAGCUAGCUUGUUCCCCUCUCUAAAAAUAUGUGUUAUCCUGCCAUUGCACAACAUUAGCAUCUUCCUUAUCUCUUUCACUUCCUCCGCAAUAACCCAUGGUGGUUUCCACUCCCUUGUGAUGACCUUCUUGAGCAGCAUAGAAUUAGUUUCUACCCAUAUGUUAUUCAUCUCAUUAGUCAAACAAUGUUUCAGGGCCUCAAAAAUUGCCCUUGUUUCUGCUUGAGUGUUUGUCACCUCUUGAAUUUCUUUUCCACACGCAUAGACCAGAUCUCCUUCCUCAUUCCUCAAGCAAAAGCCAAUUGAACUCCUACCUGGAUUACCUUUCGAGGCCCCAUCAGUGUUAAUUUUUGUCCAACCUGUCAUAGGGAGUUCCCAUAAAACCUUGUUGAACUUCAGUUUGGGAGUGUAGUUCUCCAUCAUUCUAAGUAUAUCAGGCCAUUUGAAUGGUACUCACUCAAUGCCUGACUUCCUUAGUUUAAUAAGAGAUUGAAUAGUAUUGCAGACUUGGUAUACCACUCGAUUGGUUGACACUGCCUCACCACCCAAGUCGCCGGUUUAUUUUAAAAUCCCAAAUCGAGGAUUUCCUAAAAGACCAUCCUGUUGCAUUUUACUUACGACUUGUACAUUUAUUUUUUUUUGGAUUGCAUGUUGACCGGCUUCUAGAAUAAGGGAAAAAAUUUGGAAAAAUCAAAUUAAGGUAUUAGAGAGAAAAUUACCCGUCUUUGGAAAAUCUGGUAUCCAAAAAGUACCGAAACUCUACCGAAAUUUUGAAAAAAAAAAAGAGAAAAGGAAAGGAGAAAAAAGGAAAAUUGUUUCAAAAAAAAUAUAUUUGGUGUUAUUUUUUGUUGUGUCAAAAUUGCCCAAACUACGCAAGUUUGAUUCUCACCAGAUGUGGGAUACGUAGGCAACCCUCACCAGUUCCAACUCCAUUUUCUACAAAAAUAACCCAAAAUAUGAAAUGUGUUUAUUCUAUCAUAAUUAAAACUAGGUGAUGACGUUCUUCUCUAAAUAGUCAAAAUAUCCCCAAAAGGGCGGCGGAAGGCUAUUUUUGCAAGAAUAGCCACCUAUGGUCCUUUUUAAAUUUUUGGCCAUUUAGCGAACACAACCCUAAAAUCUUCUCUCCUGAGGUGCUAAAGGGCCGUAUUUGCAAAGGUGUUUUUUUUUUUGAAUUGCGAUUUUGAGAAAUUGAUAAUCUUCUUCUGAGUCAAAUAAAUCAGGGUCUUUUAACCGAUCACUUUAAAUAAAUGUGCAGGAUGAGCACUAUUGAAAAUGAACCCUUCACAGUCCUCGAGAAAAUCUUGUUCGAACUCCAUAUAUGGUGGAAUGACUUAAGGGAAGUCAGUAGAGGUGCUGCGGUAAAAGCUUUGGGCGGUCUCAUUGGUCUUUGGAAGAUUAAACUGAGGUUGGAAAUAAUUGAGGCUUUAAUACCUUUUUGGGAUCCGACACAUAAUGUAUUCCAUUUCUCUGAUUUUGAGCUAACCCCUACACUUGAGAAAAUAGUGGGAUAUGCUGGUCUUAGUGGGAAUCUCAGGAAUCGGUACCCAGUGGCACCAAGGGCAGUGACUCCUCACAAGUUUCUGGACCUUCUGAGUAUCAGUCAGGAAGUCAAAGAUGGAAAUUUGGCUGAGGGAUUUUGCACAUUCUACUUCGUGUACAGUCAUUUUGGGGAUCCCCGCGAUUUUGAGGCUCCAGAUACUAGUCUAACUCAUUCAGGAAACAAAGGCAAGUGGGAAGCACGUCGGGGACUGGCCUUCAUAGUGGUAUUCUUAGGCACCUUAAUAUGCCUGAGGAAGGAUGGAUGUAUAGAGUUGGGGCUCGUAGGAAUGGCCGACUUCAUGAUUAAAAAGGCUAAUGGCACCAUUGUACCGAUGAUCCUAGCAGAGAUUUAUCGAGCUCUAACUAUUUGUCGAGCAGGGGGAAAUUUUUUUGAGGGUUAGAACAUGCUUUUAUAACUUUGGAUGGAAGAACACCUUUGCCAUCGUCUGGGGUACAUGAACUAUGGUAUGACCGGUCUUAACUGCAUUGAAGAACAUGAAAAUCGGAUGGAGGUUCAUAAGUUUCCAGAAGGUACAGAGGCAUGGUUCGCACAUUUGAGUUCUUUAACUACGAGCAGAAUUGAGUGGACAUUCGGUUGGCUCCCGGUCACUGAAGUCAUUUAUAUGUCGGCCGAAGUAUGUUUUCUUCUAUUGAUGGGUCUUCGGAGCAUUCAACCAUAUGCUCCACACAGGGUUCUGCACCAGCUAGGCCGGUACCAAACUAUCCCUCAUGAUGAAGAUUUAAGUCAACAAGUCAUUGAACUAGGUCCAAAAGCUGCAUUCUCGGAAGAAAGGGUUCGCCAAAUUUGGCAUUAGUAUAGGUUCUUGGAGCCACAGACUCGGGUACGGGAUUUGGCCAAAGGCAAAUUAGAGCCUAGUUAUACGGCCUGGUAUGGUAAAAGGUUUCAAGUCCAUCAAGAGCCUGAACGGCCCGCCAAAAGGCCCCAUGUCCAACAGUUCACUGUUGGAGCCAAAGAGCAAUGGGAUUGGUUGGAAAAAGAGACAAGAUACAAGGCCAAGAUAAGAAAAUUGGAGGGGCAAAUCAGAGAUCUAAAAUUUGAUAGUAGUGUACAGGCUACUGCUAAUGAAGGGGAGAAGAAAAACCUGGCCCAAGAAAAUAAAGCCCUUCGAGCCCAGAUCCAAAAAAUGAAGAUAGCUGCUGAGAAUCAGGAAAGGAGCCGAACGGAUGAAAGACUCAUAAACGGUCUUAGGAGGAAAAUAUCUGAGCACAAGGAUGAUUUGGAAACAUUCGAGGGUAGUCUGGUUAGAGCCCGGGCACAGUUGGCGAAGAAUGCAGAGGAAUGGGCAGAGUUCGCCCGACAAUUGAAAAGGAAAUAUGAUGGAGAAGUCACAAACCUGAAGAAAAAGCUAACUACCCUCGAGAAUGAGAUGGCCGAACAAACAAAGAACUUUAAAGCAGAGAGGGAACAUUUUUAUGCACUAAUGUCUCAGCUAGAAGAGGAUGUGCAACAGUUGCAGGAUCAUAGCCAUCAUCACACCCAAGUGCUAGAAGCCAGGUCUCAAAAAAUUGGACGUUUGCUCCAAGAGAAUGGCAUCAUUAGGGAAAGGAUUAGAGCAAUUGCUAACUACAUCCUCAUGAAAUGCCAUGAAUGUGAGGACAUGACUAGAGCCACCUUCUUCGCCACAGUGAUGACCUUUGUUCGCCAAAUAAUGAAUGACCUGGAUCUCCUCCAAGGAGAUCUUGGACAUAGGCCCGUGGCGAGACCGACUGAUGUCCCACGGGCCCCUGGAGUAGUUUUGAAAGCACUUAUGUACUCUUGAUAUUCGUUUUGAGUCUGUAUUUCAGUUUCCAGUUCUAGAGCAUAUUUCGAGUCUGUUUUUAGUUUUUCAAUUCCUAGAAAGACAUGAUGGAGUCCUUGUAAUAGAAAAAUUAGAAGUUUUCAUUUUUAAUGAAAAUAUAGAAAAAACCAAAUUGUUUUUUCCUUUUAUUUCCGCAUUUAUUCCUUGAACUACAUGAUGAUCUGAUUCACGCAGCGUCAUAAUGCGUAUGCAAUCCCCAUCAGAUCCGAUCAUAGUUUUAAAUAACUCAAAUAAAAGAGAAAAUGACGAAAAGAGAAAACCAAAAGAAAAAAGAAAAGAAGAAAAGAAAGAGAAAACAAGAAAAAGAGAACGAAAACAAGAGAGAAAAUAAUGAGAGAGUGCAAAAGAGAGAAAGAGAAAGAUUGGGGAGAUAAACAAAAGAUAGGAUGGUACAUGCAAUCAUUACAAAACAUGUAGAAACACAUUUAACUGAUAGGUGCAUCACACCCCCCAAUGUGUGAUUCCCUAUGUGUUAAUUGCCUCGAACUAACUGGUUUGUUGUGUCUGUUGUUGAGUUUAGGUUCUGUUUUAAGGUGGUUGGUUUUGUGGUAACCUGGCUUCGCACCCUUACUUUACAAGAUCCAAGGGAAGUAUCGAAAUGUCAUCAGAAAGUCAUCUACCAACAAUUCCCAUCCUAGAGGAUAGCCCGAUAUCGAUUAUCCCAACCUCAGAGUCAGUGGCUGCUGAAGAGAAUAGGGCACUGCGCCUCCGCAUGUUGGAAAUGUGGGACGCUUGGUCCAAUGGUAGAGAGCCGCCUAGUGCAAUACCUGGUUUCCCCAAGCUACUUCCCAGAGCAAGUGGAACUUCUAGCAUCCUAAUAAGUUACCUCGAACACCCCACUUAGAUACUGUGGGGUUGAUAUAGACCCCACAGUAUCAAAAGUUCAAAUGAGCAUCAAAAGUGUUGAUAAAGACCCUCAAUGAAGCAUAUGUUCCGAUUGAAACCACUGUUGAACAAUUGGAAAGGAUGGCAGAACGAUUCUUUGAAGUCAACCGAAUAUCAUUUAGCAGAAAUGACCUGCCCCCGGAAGGGGCUGCCAACAACAAAGCUCUUUAUUUGAUUUUAAAGUGUGAAGGAUACUACGUGAAAAAAGUCAUGUUGGAUGGCGGAUCUGGGGUUGACAUAUGCCCUCUCUCAACUUUGCAAAGAAUGGAAAUUGGGACUGAGAGAAUUCAGCCCAACAAUGUUUGUGUACGUGCAUUUGACGGCAUCAAGAGAGACACAAUAGGGGAGAUUGAUUCGAUCUUAACUAUUGGUCAUGUGGAUUUUGAAGUGACAUUUCAGGUCUUGGACAUGGACACCUCCUACAAUUUUCUCCUAGGAAGGCCUUGGAUCCAUGCGCCAGGGGCUGUACCUUAUACUCUACACCAAAUGGAUAAGUUUGAACACAAAGAUCAAGAAAUUAUUGUCCAUGGAGAAGAUGAGCAAUCAAUUUAUAGGGACCCGCCAGUCCCAUGUCUGGAGGCUAAAUAAUGUAGCGAGUACAUAGUUUCCCAAGCUUUUGAGAUUGAGGUCACAGACCAAUGUGAGGAAGGAACUCCGUGUCCUAAACCCUUUUUGUCCAAUGCAUCAAUCAUGGUUUCCAAUGAGAUGAUCAGGCAUGGCUACAAGCCUGGGAAAGGGCUCGAGGCAUCUUUGCAAGGCAUUACAGCGCCCAGCACCUUGACUGUCAGUAAGAACUUCUUUGGUGUCAGUUUCCAAGCUAUAGAAGCCGACGUGAAAUGGGCUAAAGAACAUAAGAACGACGGGUGGGUUUUACCUCAGCCGGUCCCACAUCUCGCCAGAACUUUUGUUAAACCAGGGUACAUAGAGGAAGAAGAUGAGGCCUUCACCACCGAAGAAAUUGAGGACAUCUAUGGGUCAUGAGGCAAAUGUUGUAUGAGACUCACAUGGUCCAGCCGGGAGAAUUCUCAAGCACUGCUGAGGUGCAAUAUAUAGGGCCCGAUGCCAAGCUACAAAACUGGAAGGCUACUCCGUUCCCAGUCAGGCAGGAAUCCCGAUAGUCCAGUCUUGCCACCUUUUUUGCAUUCCGAGUUAUUUCAAGGAGUAACUCAAAUGUUUAUUUAGUUUAUUGUUUUUAAAAUUCCAAUGUAAACCCUUCUAUCUUCAAAUUCAAUGAAAUGAAAUCAAUAUUUCAUCAUCUAUGAUCCUCUUUCUUUAUUCUUUCUGAUUUUUGUUAUUUUUCUUAUUUCUUAUUUCAGUUCUAAUAAUGCGGACUUAAAUAACAUGACAUGCUUGCGGACUUCAUGCCCAGAUCCUAACAUGCUGUCUCAUUGUGAAAUAAUGAAUCAAGAACCGGAAUACGAUGAAAAUGAGUCUUUUAGGGAAAUAAAUCAAGAAUUAGAACAAUUUGAGAAUAAGCCUAAGCCAAAAUUAAACGAAACUGAGCUAGUUAAUUUGGGUAGUUCAGAAGAGGUCCAAGAAACCAUGAUAAGCAUUCACACUGAUGAAAGAACUAGGGAUGCAUUGAUCCAACUUUUGUUCCAAUUCAAAGACGUGUUUUCCUGGUCCUAUGAUGACAUGCCAGGACUUAGUGUUGAUUUAGUGGUACAUAAAUUACCAACUUACCCUGGUUAUCACCCUAUCCAAUAAAAGCAGAGAAAGUUUAAAACGGAUAUCAGUGACAAUAUUAAAGAAAAAGUCACCAAACAACUGAAAGCGAGUGUAAUCUGAGUGGUCUAAUACACCACAUGGUUGGACAAUGUGGUCCUAGUGCAAAAGAAAGACGGGAAAACCCGAGUGUGUGUUGACUAUCAAAAUUUAAACAAAGUAAUCCCCAAGGACAACUUGUCUUUGCCAAACAUCCACAUUUUUUUGACAACUGUUCCAAAUAUGAGAUACAGUCUUUCAUGGAUUGUUAUGCUGGAUAUCAUCACGUCUUGAUGGAUGAAGAAGAUGCGUAAAAGAUGACUUUCACCACCCCUUGGAGCACUUAUUGUUACAGAGUCAUGCCUUUUCGUUUGUAGAACGCCGGGGCAACUUACAUAAGAGCUAUGACUGCCAUCUUUCAUGACAUGAUGCACCAAAAAAUCGAGGUGUAUAUGGACGAUGUGAUCAUCAAAUCAAGAAUGCAGGACGACUAUAUUCGGGAUCUGAAAAAGUUCUUUGAGCAUCUGCGUAAGUAUGACUUAAAGUUAAAUCCAGGUAAGUGUGCAUUUGGAGUACCAUCUGGGAAACUUUUGGGGUUUGUAGUUAGUCGGAGGGGCAUCGAGUUAGAUCCAAUAAAUAUAAAGUCUAUUCGGAAUUUGCCCCCUCCAAGAACCAAGAAAGAGGUUACGAGUCUAUUGGGUAGGUUGAAUUACAUCAGCAGAUUCAUUGCUCAGUUGACUUCCACGUGUGAACCCAUAUUUAAGCUAUUAAAGAAAGAUGCUGUGAUUAGAUGGACAGAUGAGUGUCAAGAAGCCUUUGAUUUGUCGAAUCCGCCGGUCUUGGUCCCACCCAAAACUGGGAGGCCUUUGUUUUUAUAUUUGACAGUCUUGGAGAAUUACUUUGGAUGUGUUCUCGAGCAACAUGAUAUGACCGGUAAGAAAGAACAUGUCAUCUACUAUUUGAGCAAGAAGUUCACUAGUUAUGAAGCCAAAUACACUUUGUUGGAAAGAACUUGAUGUGCCCUGACUUGGGUUGCUCAGAAGCUUAGGCAUUACUUGUUGGCUUAUACCACUUACCUCAUAACCAGGUUAGACCCUUUGAAAUACAUAUUCCAAAAGCCGAUGCCCACAGGAAGGUUAGCAAAAUGGCAAAUCCUGCUCACCGAGUUCGACGUAGUCUAUGUCAUCUACACGACAAUGAAAGCUCAAGCUUUAGCGGAUCACCUAGGUGAGAAUCUUGUUGAUGAUAAAUAUCAAGUACUUACUUUCCGGAUGAGGAAGUAAAUUCAGUCGAGGUAAUUUCAGAAGACACCAAUGCUUGGAAAAUGUUCUUCGAUGGAGCUAUGAAUGCAAAAGGUGUCGGAAUUGGGACAAUUUUGAUCUCACCCACCAGUCAGCACUAUCCGACCACAGCCCGACUUCAAUUUUUUUGCAGCAACAACACUACCGAGUAUGAAGCCUACAUUAUGGGCAUGAACAUGGAAAUCGAUCAAGAUGUAGAAGAAUUGUUAAUCAUGGGAGAUUCGGACUUGAUUAUCUGACAAGCUUAGGGAGAAUGGGAAACUCGGGAUGUUAAGCUUAUUCCAUAUAGGCAACACGUGGAAGAUCUUAGCAAACGGUUCAAGUCCGUCGAGUUCAGGUACAUUCCUAUGUUUCACAAUGAGUUAGCUGAUGCACUAGCUAAUUUGUCUUCGAUGUUGCCAUAUCCAGGAAAUGUCCACAUUGAUCCACUGGAAAUCCAAAUUCGAGAAAGGCAUGGUUACUAUAAAGUAGUUGAAAUAGAGCCUGAUGUUCAAGCAUGGUAUCAUGAUAUAAAAAGAUUCUUGAAAGCAAAAGAAUAUCCGGAGCAAGCUGGUGGAGACCAAAAGAGAACCAUUAAAAGGCUUUCCAUUGGUUUCUUCUUGAGUGGAGAGGUCUUGUACAAAAGGACUCCAGAUUUGAACCUUCUAAGAUGUGUGGAUGCCCAAGAGGCCGGAAGGAUCAUGAAUGAAGUGCACACAUAUGAAUGGGUAUGUCCUGUCAAAGAAAAUCCUUUGAGAAGGAUAUUACUGGAUGACUAUGGAAAAGGAUUGCUUCAGUUUUGUCCGGAAUUAUCAUCAAUGUCAAGUGCACGGUGUCCUGAUUCAUGCACCACCUUCAGAACUGCAUCUUAUGUCAGAACCAUGGCCGAUUGUUACUUGGGGUAUGGAUGUCAUUGGGCCAAUCGAGCCAAAAGCUUCAAAAGGGCAUAGAUUCAUAUUGGUUGCCAUUGACUAGUUCACAAAAUAGGUUGGGGCAAUCACUUUCAAAGCCAUCACUAAGAAAGCAGUGGUAAUGUCGUGCACUCCAACAUCAUCUGCCAUUUUGGUAUUCCUAAAACUAUCAUUACGGAUAAUGCUACAAAUCUAAAUAGUCAUUUGAUGAGGGAUGUAUGUGAACAAUUUAAAAAUACACAUCGAAAUUCUACCCCUUAUCAGCCCAAAGCUAAUUGUAUUGUUGAAGCAGCAAACAAGAACAUCAAAAAAUUCUGAGGAAGAUGAUUCAAAGUUCUAGACAAUGGCAUAAAAAGUUGCCAUUUGCAUUGUUGGGAUAUCGCACAACUGUGGGCACAUCAGUUGGAGCAACACCAUAUCUAUUGGUUUAUGGCACUGAAGUCGUAAUACCCGUAGAAGUUGAAAUUCCAUCUUUCCGAAUCAUCGUUGAAGCCGAGGUUGAAGAUAGUGAGUGGGUCAAAACCCGUUUAGAAUAGUUGACUUUGAUUGAUGAAAAGCGGAUGGCCGAAAUUUGCCACGGGCGGUUGUAUCAACAAAUAAUGGCCCGUGCCUACAACAAGAAAGUGCGGCCUAGGAACUUUGAAGUGGGGCAACUUAUUUUGAGACUUAUUCUCCCGCAUCACGAAGAAGCAAAAGGAAAGUUCUCUCCAAACUGGAAAGGUCCAUACAUUAUAAGAAAAUUAUUGCCGAAAGAGGCAUUGCACUUGGGAGACAUUGAAGGAAAUGACCCUAAAACAGCUGUCAAUGUAGACGUGGUCAAAAGGUAUUACGUUUAACCCUUCUACGGUACCAAUAUUAUCCGAUUGGGAUGACGAAGGAUUUCAUUCUCGGUACCCAAAACACUUCAACCAUUUGCUAACCUUUUGAGCCGGUUACCUUUCUUUGAUCACCCUCUUUUGAACCCGAAAAUGUUUGUAAAAAAAAAAAGAAAAAGAAAAAUCAAAAAACAAAGUUUCCCUGAACUACAUUUGACUUGAUUUUGAAAGGAAAAGUAGGCAGCCUCUCUCUACGGUUCAGUCACACCAAAACAAAAAUCCACAUUUUCUCAAAGUUGAAACUGGGGCAGAAUUUAUUAUGAUUCGACGACAGUUCGCCUGAAAGGUUCCAAAUUCUAAUUCAAUCCAAUCUUUUACCCUAAACCCUGUUCAAAGUCCUUCUGAUCAAUUGGUAAAGAUGUUCAAAAUGGAAGGAUGUUGGAAUCCGAUACAAUCAAAUGAGAGAAAUAAAAUGAGAGAGUCUUAUCAGUGAAAACUCAUACGGGCACGGUAAGGCGAUGGUGAGCAGAGAAAUUGAAAAUGAGAGAGUCUUGUUAGUGAAAACUCACAAAGUCCACUAUAAGGCGACAGUGAGAAGAGAAAUGAGAGAGGUCAGUUGGUGAAAACCUUCAAAGGGUGCCAUUGAUCGAAAAAAAGGAAUUCCUUACAACCAUCGGCAUUGAUAGAGUCCUAGCAAGGUUUCUUGGUUUUGAGAUAAGAGUUAUGAUGGGUUUAUGAGAGAUUGGAUGGUUGCACGAUCGGGUAUCCAGUCCAAGAAGCAUGUCAUGUCUAUUGAAGUCUGCAUGCACUCUAGAUAAGUCCUUCUUCCCUUCCCCCAAAAGGGACACUUCUCAAUAAAUUCAUUAUCAUGUUCUUUGUUUACUUUUCUUUGAAGCCCUUUCGGUUUAACCCUCCUCCAAAACUAAUACAAAGAAAAGAUGGCAAGAUUGGUUUUACAGGGUUCUGCUUAAUAAAAGCCAAAAUUCAAGGAAAAUCACAUAGCCUCAGCAGGUGCAUCAAGUCGAUCUCGACUGGCCAUGAUGGUCGAUGCUCCAGAAUCAAAAUUAUUGAAAAGGAAAGAAAUCCAAAGUCAAGUGCGCAUAAAGGCAAAAUAAGAUGAAAAGGCCAAAGUUCCAUACGGGCUAACCGUCACGUAGAAUUUUGGAAAGUCAAGAUCCCUAGGUUCAUAAAGGAAACCGAUCUCCAGAAAGCGAGCGAGCAAUGGAGAUUUUCAUCAAAAGAGUUGAGUCGAGAUCAAGUGAUCAAAAUAAUCAAGACCACAAAAACCAACCACCGUUUCAAACUGACAAAUUGUUCUUUGAUUUGAAAACAGGAGAACAGGUGCAGUCCAAAACAAACCUGCAAGAAGUAGGUGGAAUAAAAGCAAGGCACGCAGAAACCAAAGUGGUUCUGCAGCAAAAGUUGACCCAAAAAGGGAAGUCCUUUUAAAAUCUUCAUUCAUUCUCCUAAAUAAAAUGAAAAGUGAAGUAAAAAAAAGGAGGAAGAAGAAAAGAAAGUAGAAAGCAAAGAAGAAAAAUUCAAAAUCAUGGUAGCCUAUGGUCCCCAAUCUCUAGCUGUGUUUUUUCAAACAUAGGGGUCCCAUUUCCUAGUCACUCCUAGCAUAACCUGGUAGUCUUUUCCAUUAUAGGGUUCCACUCCCUAGUUGAUUCCCGAGACAACCCUUGGACCUCCCCGGUAUAACCCGAGGACUUAUUUUUCUUUCCCGGCAUAACCCGAGGAUCUUUUUUCUUUUCUGACAUAACUCGAUGACUUUCCCGGCAUAACCCGUUGACCUCCCCGGCAUAAGACGAGGAUCUUUUUUCUUUCCCGACAUAACCUGAUGACUUUCCUGGCAUAAACCUUGUACCUCCCCGACAUAACCUGAGGACCUUUUUCUUUUUCGGAAUAACCCGAUGACUUUCCAAGCAUGACCCGUGGACCUCCCCGGCAUCCCCGAAGGACCUUUUUUUNNNNNNNNNNNNNNNNNNNNNNNNNNNNNNNNNNNNNNNNNNNNNNNNNNNNNNNNNAUGGCAUAAACCGAGAACCUUUUUUCCUUUUCCCGCAUAACCCGAUGACUUUUUCGGCAUAUCCCGUUGACCUCUUCGGCAUAACCCGAGGACCUUUUUUCUUUUCCGGCAUAACCCGAUGACUUUUCACGCAUAACCCGUGGACCUCCCCGACAUAAUUUGAGGACCUUUUUUCUUUUUUCGGCAAAACCCGAGGACCUUUUUCUUUUCCGGCAUAACUCGAGGACCAUUUUCUUUUCCAGCAUAACCCGUGGACCCCCCCGACAUAACCAGAGGAUCUUUUUCUUUUCCGGCAUAACCCGAUGACCUUCCCCGGUAUAAUCCGAGGACCUUUUUUCUUUUCUACCAUAACCAAAUUAACUUUCCCGGCAUAAUUCGAGGACCUUUUUCCUUUCCUGCAUAACCCAGUCAUUUCUCCAGCAUAACCUGGUAAUCUUCCCAACUUGGGGCCUCCGUUCCCAAUUUGAUAGCAUUCUAGAUAUAGGGUCUCCACUCCCUAAUCUCUUUUUCUCAGGGAUACACAAUCCCGAUUUUAAUUGCUUUUAAUAAAGAAAUAGUUUAGAUAUUUUUUAUAAUAACUCAUGAAAUUUUCCUAGUGAAAAUUGGGGCAGAAAAUUUUGUUCGUUUGUUUGCUUUGGUGUCUGAACAGGUUUUCACCGUGAGGCACAAGGUUUAAGAUGACCAAAAAAAUAAAUCUCAACCCAAACAAAAGAAAAGAAGAACAAGAAAAGAAGUUGAACUUUUAGUGUAGAAGCGUAGAAAAGAUGUGGACUGCUCAAGAUAUGAUUGAAGGCACAAGUUUUGCAUGUCCCGCUUUGAUCCGAAAAGUUGAAGAAGGAUGAACCAGCGGUUGCAGCUAACGAGCAUCAAGAUUCAGAUCAGAGUCUGCAGAAAGAACCAUCCAAGACUCAAAAUCAAGCUUUAGAAGGUUUAUGAAUCUUGUAACUCGUAGUUUAUAGACUUAGCUAGUUUAGCUUUUCAUCUUUUAUUUCGAUGUAAUAAGGAGCUCAGCAAGCAGAAACAGCAACAACAAUAGUGAAAUCACAGUUUACCCGGUAGUCCCAGCUACCAAAACUUCUAGAACUAUACUGACCUGAUUCCUUUAUAGCCAAGGAUAUGUAGGCAACCUCCGAAGCAAGGUUCGCCCAGAUUUUUUCAAAAGAUGCUUCUCAUGGAGUUUCAAACGGGCAAAAAUCGCUCAUAAUUGCUCAUUUUAUCUUUGCCCAAAAAUCCUUCGUAUUUCCUAGCAAAGAGGGGCAGUUGUGAGCAUGUGAUUUUUGCCCUAUACAAAUUACUCCUAUAAAAUCCAAGAAAAUAGAUUUUUUCCAAUUAUUUGCUAUUUUAUAGGAUUUUAGUAAUUGUUUGCAUUUUUGUGCACGUUUAAUUUUUAUUAAAAUCAUGAAAAUGUUAAAAAAUACCAUGCAUUGCAUUUAGAUUUUUGUUUUUAUAGUUUUAGGAUUAAUUAGUUAAUUAUUUAUUUUAUUAAAGUUGAAAAUCAGAAAAUGGCUCAUUUACAUUUUUUACCUUUUAAUUUUUAGAUUAUUGAUUUUUCUCUUUUAAUUUAGGAUCAAGUAAUUUUUAUAAUUAUUAAAAAUAGAUAAUUAGAUAUAUUUUACAAAUUAAGAUAAUUCAGUACUUAGUUUAAGGUUUAUUUAAAUUAAUUAGUCUUUAAAAAAAUUUUAAAAAAAAAGGAUUUUGGCCGAAUUGGGCCAUUUCUUUCUAAACUAGCCCAAUCCUAAUUUAACCCAAAACACCCCCAAACCCAAAUCCCUUUAAAACUCUGAUCCAACCCCCAUCUCCCUUCACUCAAUCUUGACCAUUGAUCUCUAGUUGAUCCAAUGAUUUGGAAUUCCACCCCUUUUUUAAUAAAAAAGUGUCAUAAAAUCUCCACCCCCCGCAUUUCCAAACUCCCCCGCUCUUCCACUUCUCUCUCAACUCCCCUGUCACGACCCCAAAUACCCGAUCGUGAUGACGUCUAUCACAUUACUAGGCAAGCCAACCCAAUAUUUAAUCACAGCCUUUUUAUUUUAUAAAACCAUUUUCUAACACGGGUUAAAUCUCAUUUUUCAUAAGAAAUGUAUAAAACAACUAAAAAUGUGCGGAAAUAAAUAAAACAGUAAACCAACACAGCCCAACAUCUAGUGUCACGAGUCUAGAGCCUCUAAAUAUACAACCGACUAUCUAAUACAUCAUAAGUCUAAAAUGCAGAAAAGAACUAGAUAGGAAGGAGGAAAGCAGGGCUGCUGACGCCAUGCAGCUACCUUACAGUCUCUGGCAAACUCUAAUAAUGCUAAGGACCCUCGCUCUGCCGCUAGGGCACCUGGAUUUGCACACAAGGUACAGGGAGUAACGUGAAUACGCCAACUCAGUAAGUAACUAAAGUAAAUAAGGUCUUAAAGCAGUGACGAGCAGUUAAAAUCAUAUAAAGGAGUAAACAACAAGAUAAUAGAUCAAACUCCACAGUUUAAAAAAUAGUUUCGUCAUAAAACUUCGGUUUCAAUUAGAAUACUUAAAAUCAUUUACUUGGCAAUUUUCAACAGAGGCUUAUUUAAAAGAAGAGUGAAAUCAGUAAAAAUAUCAUAAAAGGGCCCCUCGGGCAAGGUAUCUCUCCUAAAAAUGGCCUCUCAGGCAGCUUCUCAGUCAUUCGUGACUCAGCACUCAGGCUCAAUAAUAUCUCGUAAUAGUAAUAAUCAUAGUAACCAUUGCGCGUGCAGCCCGAUCCAUAGUUUAUAGUUGACUACGCUCACUGGGGGUGUACAAACUCCGGAGGGGCUCCUACAGCCCAAGCGUCAUAUCGCUGUGGCGCGCAACCCGAUCCAAUAUAUAUAUCGCUGCGGCAUGCAGCCCGAUCCAUAUAAGUAUUGUUGCGGCGUGCAGCCCGAUCCAUAAUAUAUAUAUGUAAUUCUCACCAUUAGGUCUUCAACCUCUCUCAGUCAUUAACCUCACAGUCACUCGAGCAUAACAAAAAAUUCAGGAAACUCAUUCCAAAUAGUCCUUACAUUUAAGAAGUAGAGUGAUAAAACUACUUGUAAACAAUAAAGAGGUAAAACAUAGCUGAGAAUAUACUUUCAAACAAAUAGAGUGGGGAAAAAAAGUAAAAAUGCCCCUAAGGGUCUCAACUGGUCGGCACGAGGCCCCAAACAUGGCAUACAACCCAUAAUACAAUGUAAGUGUCUAAAAUAUGAAAUAUUAUAAGAUUUCAAAUCAAAUACGCGACUUAAUAGUCGCUACGGGACGGACCAAGUCACAAUCCCUACCGGUGCACGCCCACACGCUCGUCACCUAGCAUGUGUGUCACCUCAUCUAACAAAAAUAAUUUGAAAUACCGGGGUUUGUACCCUCAGAUCCAGAUUUGCAAUGGUUACUUACCUCAAACCGAGUGAAAAUACUACUCUGUGACCCCUUUUCCUCUCGCCAUGGCUUCAACUCGCGCCGAAUCUACCCAAAAUCAGAAUCAUAACAUUAGAAUAGGCUAAUGGGACGAAACCCAUGCAAAAUAAAUCAAACUAUACCAAAAAUCCCGAUUGGCCAUACCCGACCCCCGGGCUCACGUCUCAAAACUUGAUAAAAAUCACACCAAAUGAAUCCUUAUCCUCCCACGAGUUCAUACAUACCAAGAAUACAAAAAUUCGACCACAAAUGGCCCCUCAAAUCCUCACUCAAAGGUCUCCAAUACCAAGCCCUAAUCCCUCAAUUUUCUUCCAUAAUUCACACUAAUACCAUGAUUAAAUAAUGGAAAAAUGAUCAUAAAACCAAAUAAUGAAUCUUAGGGAACUUACCCAAAUGAUUCCCUUCGAUUUUCCCUUGAAAUAACUGCCCUAGCUCGCUUCCCGUCUUUAAUAAUGGAGAACUUAGCAAAAUUUUGUGAAAGAAAUAAUAUAUACCUUCUGGCCUAGGUAUUCCGCACAUGCGGCCCUUUAACCGCUUCUACGGUCCCGCUUCUGCUGUCUUGACCACUGCACCUGCGGUCUCCACUUAAAAGUCCAAAGUCGCAUCUACGAUGCUAAAUCCACACAUGCGCCAUCGCAGGUGUCGCUCCUUGACCGCUUCUGCGAUUCUUGCCUUUCCUAGGCUCUUCCGCUUCUAUGACCAAUCUUCCGCAUUUGCGGCGUCCCACCUACGGUCCCCAAUCCGCAAGUGCGGAAACAACAUUACGACAAAAUCUACAGCUCUACCAAAGUCACUGUCAACCCUACGAAAUCAUCCCGAGGCCCCCAGGACCUCAACCAAAAACACAAACAUAUCCCAUAACCUUAUUUCAAACUUAUACCAAUAUACAAAACACCUCAAACAACAUCGAAUCAACCAAAACACAUCGGAUUCAAGCCUAUGUUUCAAAAAAAUUCCGAAUUACGCUUUUGAUCAAAAAGUAUACCAAACCACGUCCGAAUGACCUGAAAUUUUGCACACACAUCCCAAAUGAACCAACGGAACUACUGCAACUCCCGGAAUUCCAUUCCGCCCCCUAUAUCAAAAUCUCACCUAUCAACCCGAAAACGCCAAAAAUUCAAUUUCGCCAAUUCAAGCCUAAAUCUACUCCAGACCUCAAAAACACAUUCCGAUCACGCUCCUAAGUUCCAAAUCACCUCCCAAAGCUAUCCGAACCAUCAGAACUCACAUCCGAGACCUUUAACACAUAAAUCAACAUCCGGCUGACUUUUCCUACUUAAGCUUCCUCAAAAGAGACUAAGUGUCUGAAACCUUACCAAAUCCUUUCCGAACCCGAGCCAACCAACCCGAUCACAUAUAGAACCGAUAGACAAAGCAAUAAGAAGCAGAAAUGGGGAAAACGAAGCGGUAAUUCAUGAAUCGACCGGCCAGGUCGUUACAUCCCCAAACCCUAAAGCCCCCAACUCUCUCCCUUCUCUCUUCUCCAUUUCCGCCGCCACCCCUCCCCAUGGCGGCGCCGCCCGCCGGAAUUCUCCACCAGAGGUGGCCAACCUCCAAUAAAAACCCAAGAUAACUUCAUUCUUGUCCUCUUCUCCUCCUCUACCACACCCCACCAACGAAACCCAUAAAAAACCAAC
RNAcentral lists this long non-coding RNA (21087 nucleotides) under Nicotiana tabacum (common tobacco). RNAcentral's name for it is "long non-coding RNA (NTAB_LNC018586)". Lineage: Eukaryota; Viridiplantae; Streptophyta; Magnoliopsida; Solanales; Solanaceae. The record is from RNAcentral.